AGGGAUGUGGCUCAUCGGAAGAAUCUCUGUUUUGCAUGCAGAGGGUCCCGGGUUCAAUCCUCAGCACCUCCA
This 72-nucleotide transfer RNA is filed under the name Sphaerodactylus townsendi. Its description in RNAcentral is "tRNA-Ala". The record is from RNAcentral. Lineage: Eukaryota; Metazoa; Chordata; Lepidosauria; Squamata; Sphaerodactylidae.